AGCGAACGUUAGCGGCGGGCCUAACACAUGCAAGUCGAACGAGAAUGUAGACUUCGGUCUACUAGUAAAGUGGCGGACGGGUGCGUAACACGUGGGUAAUCUACCUUCCGGCGGGGGACAACAGUCCGAAAGGAUUGCUAAUACCGCGUACGUCAGCGGCGCCUACGGGCGCUGUUGGGAAAGAUGGCCUCGUCCUUGGAAGCUAUCACCGGAAGAUGAGCCCGCGUCCCAUCAGCUAGNGGUGAGGUAACGCUCACCAAGGCAAAGACGGGUAGCUGGUCU
Molecule: ribosomal RNA, 282 nt
Filed under: uncultured bacterium
Lineage: Bacteria
Description: partial 16S ribosomal RNA
Rfam family: Bacterial small subunit ribosomal RNA
Source: RNAcentral